This 45-nucleotide non-coding RNA is filed under the name Schistosoma margrebowiei. The record is from RNAcentral. Lineage: Eukaryota; Metazoa; Platyhelminthes; Trematoda; Strigeidida; Schistosomatidae.
AUCUUGCUGACGAGUCCCAAUUAAGACGAAAUGCGUAUCUUAUAU